RNAcentral lists this ribosomal RNA (622 nucleotides) under Staphylococcus aureus. RNAcentral describes it as "partial 23S ribosomal RNA". It matches the Rfam family "Bacterial large subunit ribosomal RNA", at positions 860 to 1484 of the family's 2925-position model. Lineage: Bacteria; Bacillati; Bacillota; Bacilli; Caryophanales; Staphylococcaceae. The record is from RNAcentral.
CGAAAUAGCUUUAGGGCUAGCCUCAAGUGAUGAUUAUUGGAGGUAGAGCACUGUUUGGACGAGGGGCCCCUCUCGGGUUACCGAAUUCAGACAAACUCCGAAUGCCAAUUAAUUUAACUUGGGAGUCAGAACAUGGGUGAUAAGGUCCGUGUUCGAAAGGGAAACAGCCCAGACCACCAGCUAAGGUCCCAAAAUAUAUGUUAAGUGGAAAAGGAUGUGGCGUUGCCCAGACAACUAGGAUGUUGGCUUAGAAGCAGCCAUCAUUUAAAGAGUGCGUAAUAGCUCACUAGUCGAGUGACACUGCGCCGAAAAUGUACCGGGGCUAAACAUAUUACCGAAGCUGUGGAUUGUCCUUUGGACAAUGGUAGGAGAGCGUUCUAAGGGCGUUGAAGCAUGAUCGUAAGGACAUGUGGAGCGCUUAGAAGUGAGAAUGCCGGUGUGAGUAGCGAAAGACGGGUGAGAAUCCCGUCCACCGAUUGACUAAGGUUUCCAGAGGAAGGCUCGUCCGCUCUGGGUUAGUCGGGUCCUAAGCUGAGGCCGACAGGCGUAGGCGAUGGAUAACAGGUUGAUAUUCCUGUACCACCUAUAAUCGUUUUAAUCGAUGGGGGGACGCAGUAGGAUA